GAAAUUCCAUGGCCCAUCGAAGAGCCUCAAAAGAGAAUUUCUUUGAGAAGCUUGUAUAAGUCUUCCUGCACCUCUGAGAGAGAUUGUCUUCUCAGCAAGACUACAGUCCUCCAGAGUCAAUUUUCCUAAUAGAGACCUCCUGGAUUAUGUUGGACAAAUGUCAUGUCCCCUGGCUCUCUCCAUCUUGUAAUGAAAAUGAGACCUAUUGCCAACUACACCUUGCUGAUUGCUUCCUACCUGCUGCUAAGGAUAAUUUGUGCAGUGUAAAUGAAGACUUCAGCAGUUGGUGAAAGAAAAAAAAAAAGGUACAAGAAAGGACUGAUGUUCAACAUUUACAAAACAGAGCCAAUAUAGACACAGUUCUGCUUAGCUGAAAAUGUGUAAAGUAUAUGAAAGAUCUUUAUGUUUUCACAACCUUAAUUAUAC
This is a non-coding RNA of Meleagris gallopavo (turkey), 426 nucleotides long. The record is from RefSeq and is a predicted model, not a curated record. NCBI's taxonomy places the organism in Eukaryota, Metazoa, Chordata, Aves, Galliformes, Phasianidae.